Molecule: ribosomal RNA, 254 nt
Filed under: uncultured bacterium
Lineage: Bacteria
Description: partial 16S ribosomal RNA
Rfam family: Bacterial small subunit ribosomal RNA
Source: RNAcentral
UACGUAGGGGGCAAGCGUUGUCCGGAUUUAUUGGGCGUAAAGAGCUCGUAGGCGGCUCAGUAAGUCAGGUGUGAAACCUCCAGGCUCAACCUGGAGACGCCACCUGAUACUGCUGUGGCUAGAGUCCGGUAGGGGAGCGUGGAAUUCCUGGUGUAGCGGUGAAAUGCGCAGAUAUCAGGAGGAACACCAGCGGCGAAGGCGGCGCUCUGGGCCGGAACUGACGCUGAGGAGCGAAAGCGUGGGCAGCAAACAGG